Molecule: ribosomal RNA, 348 nt
Filed under: Triticum aestivum (bread wheat)
Lineage: Eukaryota; Viridiplantae; Streptophyta; Magnoliopsida; Poales; Poaceae
Description: partial small subunit ribosomal RNA
Source: RNAcentral
AUGACCGAAGGUGAACAUGACCGUAAGGUCAUAGAUUUUUAUGGAACCUUGAAGGAGAUCAUUCAGUUAGAUUAUAACUUGGAAGAUAGGUCAGUUGUUUUGUUUAAAUGUGACUGGUUUAAACUUGAUGGAAAGAAGACUGAACUUAAAAAUGAUGGUUUUUUCAAAAGCAUACAUGUUGGAAGUUUGUGGUACAAGGAUGAUUCUUUGAUUCUGGCUACUCAGGCUAGUAAGGUCUUUUAUUUGCCAGACACGAAGUAUGGGAAAAAUUGGCAAGUUGUGCAAACAUUUGACCAUAGGCAUCUGUUCAAUAUUAGUGAAACUGAGGGUGUACCUUUUAGUGGUCCU